AUACGGAGGAUGCGAGCGUUAUCCGGAUUUAUUGGGUUUAAAGGGUGCGCAGGCGGCGCGUUAAGUCAGCGGUGAAAUGUCCCGGCUCAACCGGGGCACUGCCGUUGAUACUGGCGUGCUAGAGUACGGACGGCGCCGGCGGAAUGUGUCAUGUAGCGGUGAAAUGCUUAGAUAUGCCACAGAACACCGAUCGCGAAGGCAGCUGGCGAGGCCGGUACUGACGCUCAGGCACGAAAGCGUGGGGAUCAAACAGGAUUAGAUACCCUGGUAGUCCACGCAGUAAACGAUGAUAACUUGUUGUCGGCGAUAGAAUGUCGGUGACAAAGCGAAAGCGAUAAGUUAUCCGCCUGGGGAGUACGAUCGCAAGGUUGAAACUCAAAUGAAUUUACGGGG
This 393-nucleotide ribosomal RNA is filed under the name uncultured bacterium. RNAcentral describes it as "partial 16S ribosomal RNA". It matches the Rfam family "Bacterial small subunit ribosomal RNA", at positions 523 to 918 of the family's 1533-position model. The record is from RNAcentral.